RNAcentral lists this long non-coding RNA (359 nucleotides) under Homo sapiens (human). RNAcentral describes it as "HSALNT0187169". The record is from RNAcentral. Lineage: Eukaryota; Metazoa; Chordata; Mammalia; Primates; Hominidae.
UUAAGAAACUUCUGUUAGCAUUCUGAUGUUCAAACCCAAGGCUUGAUCUUCCUGUUGAGGGCCAUCCAAGAGCACCAUGAUGAAGUGGAAAGAGAUUGUUCACAAGAAUGAUCACUUACAGAAGACUGAGCCCAAGGCCCUUGCUGAUGGAUUCCCAGACUUAUAUGCAUCCGAGAUUGAAGAACUUAAACAUCUUGCCCUUGCCAUGACCACAAAUCAGAGGGUAAUAAAAUUUAAUGUCCAUGGACUUUGACCUUCAAAAGACCAAAGACAGGCUGUUUCAAGAACGCGGUCUUGAACAAUUUGUUGACAUCUUCACAAAAGAAAAAUAAUUCUCUAAAUCAGUAACUGAGUCUCCG